AUUGAACGCUGGCGGCGUGCCUAACACAUGCAAGUCGAGCGGUAACAGGUGUAGCAAUACAUGCUGACGAGCGGCGGACGGGUGAGUAACGCUUGGGAAUCUGCCUGUUAGUGGGGGACAACCCGGGGAAACUCGGGCUAAUACCGCAUACGCACUACGGUGGAAAGCCGGGGACCGCAAGGCCUGGCGCUAACAGAUGAGCCCAAGUCGGAUUAGCUAGUUGGUAGGGAACGGCCUACCAAGGCGACGAUCCGUAACUGGUCUGAGAGGACGACCAGUCACACCGGAACUGAGACACGGUCCGGACUCCUACGGGAGGCAGCAGUGGGGAAUAUUGGACAAUGGGCGAAAGCCUGAUCCAGCGACGCCGCGUGGGUGAAGAAGGCCUGCGGGUUGUAAAGCCCUUUCGGGUAGGGGAAGAAAAGCCUCGAGUUAAUACCUCGGGGUCUUGACGUAACCCAUAGAAGAAGCACCGGCUAACUCUGUGCCAGCA
This 493-nucleotide ribosomal RNA is filed under the name uncultured bacterium. Its description in RNAcentral is "bacterial SSU rRNA". It matches the Rfam family "Bacterial small subunit ribosomal RNA", at positions 29 to 513 of the family's 1533-position model. The record is from RNAcentral.